AACAGGAUUAGAUACCCUGGCAGUCCACGCCGUAAACGAUGUCGACUUGGAGGUUGUGCCCUUGAGGCGUGGCUUCCGGAGCUAACGCGUUAAGUCGACCGCCUGGGGAGUACGGCCGCAAGGUUAAAACUCAAAUGAAUUGACGGGGGCCCGCACAAGCGGUGGAGCAUGUGGUUUAAUUCGAUGCAACGCGAAGAACCUUACCUACUCUUGACAUCCAGAGAACUUUCCAGAGAUGGAUUGGUGCCUUCGGGAACUCUGAGACAGGUGCUGCAUGGCUGUCGUCAGCUCGUGUUGUGAAAUGUUGGGUUAAGUCCCGCAACGAGCGCAACCCUUAUCCUUUGUUGCCAGCGGUCCGGCCGGGAACUCAAAGGGGACUGCCAGUGAUAAACUGGAGGAAGGUGGGGAUGACGUCAAGUCAUCAUGGCCCUUACGAGUAGGGCUACACACGUGCUACAAUGGCGCAUACAAAGAGGAGCGACCUCGCGAGAGCAAGCGGACCUCAUAAAGUGCGUCGUAGUCCGGAUUGGAGUCUGCAACUCGACUCCAUGAAGUCGGAAUCGCUAGUAAUCGUGGAUCAGAAUGCCACGGUGAAUACGUUCCCGGGCCUUGUACACACCGCCCGUCACACCAUGGGAGUGGGUUGCAAAAGAAGUAGGUAGCUUAACCUCCGGGAGGGCGCUUACCACUUUGUGAUUCAUGACUGGGGCGAAGUCGUAACAAGGUAACC
RNAcentral lists this ribosomal RNA (730 nucleotides) under uncultured bacterium. RNAcentral's name for it is "bacterial SSU rRNA". It matches the Rfam family "Bacterial small subunit ribosomal RNA", at positions 771 to 1501 of the family's 1533-position model. The record is from RNAcentral.